Molecule: unclassified non-coding RNA, 604 nt
Filed under: Hevea brasiliensis (rubber tree)
Lineage: Eukaryota; Viridiplantae; Streptophyta; Magnoliopsida; Malpighiales; Euphorbiaceae
Source: RNAcentral
UAAGUAUGUAAUGGCAAUCAAUUGACAAUUGAUGCCUUGUGCCCUGACAAGCAGGACAAUGUUCAUUCUCAAAUUACAAAUAAUUUUCAUAGGAGCAAUUAGGCUGUGUGAAAUUCCCAAAUCAGUAGUUGGAGAUUUUCUCAUUUUUCUGUUUUCCAAGCACGUAGGUAAUUUACAUUUUAUUUUAAACAUGAGCUUCCCACGGUUGGUUUCAAUUUCCUGUUACAGGAGGAUGCAAAUUCAAUCUUGAAUCAAAGUUCAGUAAUAAGCAUUGAAAACUUUGGUGCUCUCAUUCUGGAGAAAGAACUCUAUCUAACACUGGGAUCUAGUACAUUUUUUGGCUGCACCAGAUAAUGGCUUGUUGGGUUGUUUGAACCUUGAAAGGUCUGUUUUGUUGAGACCAUUUAGGUUGACACCUUAGCAGUGUUUGUAUGGUAAUUGUUUAGUACAUGUUGGGUGCAUGAUGUGUGACAUCUUGAUGACGAGUAGCACCAUCUUCUGGUUUUUCCCCCUAAACAUCUCUAUUUUUUUUUAAUAAUAUUUUCUGACUAUGCUUGUUUGGACUUCCUAAGAGAAACACAUUAUACAUUAAUAAAUUGGAUGC